Molecule: long non-coding RNA, 685 nt
Filed under: Glycine max (soybean)
Lineage: Eukaryota; Viridiplantae; Streptophyta; Magnoliopsida; Fabales; Fabaceae
Description: long non-coding RNA (GMAX_LNC002306)
Source: RNAcentral
UGCUGCACUGCGCCUGCACUCCUAACUCUGCACUGCACACCUAGACCUGACUGCUAUUCAGCCUGUAUCGCCGGCCACCAUAGCGAAAACAUCUCUGUCACCUGUUUCGCUGGUGGCAAUGGCGAAACCGGUGCCCACGUCUCGCCAACAUGCAUGGCGGAACACUUUGUAAAACUGACCCUUUGUUUCGAAACAGCUCCUUAUCGAGAAUAAGUUUGUAAAACUAACCCCUAUGAUCAAUUUGCCUAACUUUCAUCCUGGUUGACGUAACCUUCAUCAUUGCAGGCAAUUCUGACCAGCUUGUAAUCGGAGUUCCUCGAGUCGAAGCCGAAGCCAAAGCAAGAAGAAUAGUCGUAACCGUAGUUGCAGGGUGAGGGGAGGCUAAUGAAUCGCCGAACACAAGGGUUGUAAAUGAUGACAGAUUGGUAUCCUUUAGUGGCGGAGGCCGUCACAGAGGGCAACGACGGAGGUGAAAAAGAGAUUGUUGAAGAAGGGAAGGGACAAGGUGGAGGAGUGGGUGAGGAAGGGGUCGUCACAGUGGAAAGAGUAGCCAAGGAGGAGAAGGGAGGGGGAGUGGCGGUGGUGGAGGGAGAUGAAGGAAGAACUGCAUAUUAGAGACCGCCAUGACUAAUCUUCUUUGGUGGAAGUCUACGAAGAAUUUCCGCCAAGAUUUCAUCAGGGAAUA